Molecule: ribosomal RNA, 798 nt
Filed under: Lactococcus lactis
Lineage: Bacteria; Bacillati; Bacillota; Bacilli; Lactobacillales; Streptococcaceae
Description: bacterial SSU rRNA
Rfam family: Bacterial small subunit ribosomal RNA
Source: RNAcentral
GUUGCUAUACUGCAAGUUGAGCGCUGAAGGUUGGUACUUGUACCGACUGGAUGAGCAGCGAACGGGUGAGUAACGCGUGGGGAAUCUGCCUUUGAGCGGGGGACAACAUUUGGAAACGAAUGCUAAUACCGCAUAACAACUUUAAACACAAGUUUUAAGUUUGAAAGAUGCAAUUGCAUCACUCAAAGAUGAUCCCGCGUUGUAUUAGCUAGUUGGUGAGGUAAAGGCUCACCAAGGCGAUGAUACAUAGCCGACCUGAGAGGGUGAUCGGCCACAUUGGGACUGAGACACGGCCCAAACUCCUACGGGAGGCAGCAGUAGGGAAUCUUCGGCAAUGGACGAAAGUCUGACCGAGCAACGCCGCGUGAGUGAAGAAGGUUUUCGGAUCGUAAAACUCUGUUGGUAGAGAAGAACGUUGGUGAGAGUGGAAAGCUCAUCAAGUGACGGUAACUACCCAGAAAGGGACGGCUAACUACGUGCCAGCAGCCGCGGUAAUACGUAGGUCCCGAGCGUUGUCCGGAUUUAUUGGGCGUAAAGCGAGCGCAGGUGGUUUAUUAAGUCUGGUGUAAAAGGCAGUGGCUCAACCAUUGUAUGCAUUGGAAACUGGUAGACUUGAGUGCAGGAGAGGAGAGUGGAAUUCCAUGUGUAGCGGUGAAAUGCGUAGAUAUAUGGAGGAACACCGGUGGCGAAAGCGGCUCUCUGGCCUGUAACUGACACUGAGGCUCGAAAGCGUGGGGAGCAAACAGGAUUAGAUACCCUGGUAGUCCACGCCGUAAACGAUGAGUGCUAGAUGUAGGG